Toxorhynchites rutilus septentrionalis is the source of this 829-nucleotide long non-coding RNA. RefSeq lists it as uncharacterized. The transcript is spliced from 3 exons. The record is from RefSeq and is a predicted model, not a curated record. NCBI's taxonomy places the organism in Eukaryota, Metazoa, Arthropoda, Insecta, Diptera, Culicidae.
ACUGGCAACUUUGGUCGGACCAACUUUUUCGAUUCAACUCAGCAUGUCGAGUCGCGCGCGAUUUGUGUCGGCAACCUUUUCGUUCAAUUGCUGUUGACGUUUUGAUUUCUGCGUUCAUUGAAUUUCAAUAUCUGUCAGUGGUGAUGCAAAACAGUGUUUACAAUAUUGGCGCAUCUGUUUCUAUGAACGAACGAGAUGAAAUGCCAUCAAUAUGCAAGUUCUCUUGAUAUACCGUCCGGGAAGAGUGCUGAAUUGGUCAAGGAUGCGUAUAAUAUUGGAGAUUGAGCAAGAAGCACAGAAUCCGCUGGAUGUGUUUUUUCCAAGUUAACAGCAAUUGUUGCUGUCUGUUGUUAUCAGCGAGCCGAAAUAAGUAUGUUAGAUAGCCUAAAGCCGGGUUCAGACGGUGCGAGUAAGCAUACGAGUCGGUCUAGUCAGUUACUGCAGUACAGCUACUCACACCGUGUGAACACAUCAUGCCAGUUAGUGUCAUGUGUGAUUCGGCGUGCGAGCUACUUCAAAUUUUUUUGAAUUUACUCGCACUCGCAUCCCUCAAAACGUCAAAAACAGAAUUUAGCGCUCGAAUCAGGGAUGCCAAAUCUUUACAUUGUCUUUACAUGUCUCUAUUUUUAAGAUAUUUGAAAAUAUGCGAAGAUUAUUAUAGACUUGAAAAUUAUUGAAAAAACAAAUAAAACCCUCAUAGUUUCUAAGCGGAAUCGUUGUUAUUUAUUUAGCUUGCCCUGUAAUCUGUUUGUAUGUUUGUAACAUGUCCCACAUUAGUAGAAAUUUGACCCCCUUCUUGUUGACCGAUUGAUCUGAAAUUUGGAACACA